This 384-nucleotide ribosomal RNA is filed under the name uncultured bacterium. RNAcentral's name for it is "bacterial SSU rRNA". It matches the Rfam family "Bacterial small subunit ribosomal RNA", at positions 370 to 772 of the family's 1533-position model. The record is from RNAcentral.
AAUGGGCGAAAGCCUAAUGCAGCAACGCCGCGUGAGCGAUGAAGGCCUUCGGGUCGUAAAGCUCUGUCCUAUGGGAAGAUAAUGACGGUACCAUAGGAGGAAGCCCCGGCUAACUACGUGCCAGCAGCCGCGGUAAUACGUAGGGGGCAAGCGUUAUCCGGAAUUACUGGGCGUAAAGGGUGCGUAGGCGGUUUAUCAAGUCAGGGGUGAAAGGCUACGGCUCAACCGUAGUGAGCCUCUGAAACUAGAGAACUUGAGUGCAGGAGAGGAGAGUAGAAUUCCUAGUGUAGCGGUGAAAUGCGUAGAUAUUAGGAGGAAUACCAGUAGCGAAGGCGGCUCUCUGGACUGUAACUGACACUGAGGCACGAAAGCGUGGGGAGCAAA